RNAcentral lists this non-coding RNA (21 nucleotides) under Arabidopsis thaliana (thale cress). Lineage: Eukaryota; Viridiplantae; Streptophyta; Magnoliopsida; Brassicales; Brassicaceae. The record is from RNAcentral.
UCUAUUCUCUUAGCCUUACAA